Molecule: ribosomal RNA, 443 nt
Filed under: uncultured Alphaproteobacteria bacterium
Lineage: Bacteria; Pseudomonadati; Pseudomonadota; Alphaproteobacteria
Description: bacterial SSU rRNA
Rfam family: Bacterial small subunit ribosomal RNA
Source: RNAcentral
AACGAACGCUGGCGGCAGGCCUAACACAUGCAAGUCGAACGUGAAGCAGGACUUCGGUUCUGUGGAAAGUGGCGCACGGGUGAGUAACGCGUGGGAACCUACCCUUGAGUAUGGGAUAACGGCUGGAAACGGCCGCUAAUACCGUAUACGCCCUAUUGGGGAAAGAUUUAUCGCUCUUGGAUGGGCCCGCGUAGGAUUAGGUAGUUGGUGGGGUAACGGCUUACCAAGCCUGCGAUCCUUAGCUGGUCUGAGAGGAUGAUCAGCCACACUGGGACUGAGACACGGCCCAGACUCCUACGGGAGGCAGCAGUGGGGAAUAUUGGACAAUGGGCGCAAGCCUGAUCCAGCCAUGCCGCGUGAGUGACGAAGGCCUUAGGGUUGUAAAGCUCUUUCGGCUGUGAAGAUGAUGACUGUAGCAGCUAAAGAAGCCCCGGCUAACUCCG